Molecule: long non-coding RNA, 257 nt
Filed under: Macaca mulatta (Rhesus monkey)
Lineage: Eukaryota; Metazoa; Chordata; Mammalia; Primates; Cercopithecidae
Description: lncRNA (ENSMMUG00000055355.1)
Source: RNAcentral
UGAAAAGAUGAACUGAGAAUCAUAUUGUCACAUUUGAGGGAAAAAAGCAGUUUAAUAUGUGGUAAAUUACCAAGAUGUCAGCUCUAUAUUUGAUUGGAAUUAAUGUAAGUUUUUGGAAUAUGGCAUGCUAAAUCUAAAAAAUGGCCUAAUCACUUAAUGAAGAAAAGAAACAAUCAUUAUCUUCUCCUUUCUUUAUGCCCUUAAGGAACAACUUUCACAUCUGCAGACAAAAAAGGAGCCAUUAGAGAGAAAAGUUG